Molecule: long non-coding RNA, 1559 nt
Organism: Pogona vitticeps (central bearded dragon)
Lineage: Eukaryota; Metazoa; Chordata; Lepidosauria; Squamata; Agamidae
Source: Ensembl
AAAUACUAAACCUAAAUAUAUCUAGUACAGAUAACUUGUCUAUCCAUGGAGGAUCUUCACUCCCAGGCAAGGGAGCUGCAAUCCAUGAAACGAACAUAUAGGCAUAAUAAAACACAGAGCCGGGGCUUUGCUACUGUUUCUGGACUACAAUUCCCACAAUCCCCAGCCAGAUUCAAGGAGUGGAAAUCCAAAACGGGGAACGUCCCUGAGCACGGAUAAAACGUUAGCCUCUUCAUGUGCCAUAUAGUCAUUGCCUAACGAAGCCCGUUAACAUUAGGAACGGGGAAACCUAACGGAAUGGGCUCCCUCCUCGUUCCUCCCGGCAUCACGGCAACGUUACUCGCGACCCGUUACUUCCCAGCUUUGUUCAAAAGUUGUUCCCGAAAUGUUGUUUUCGAAACAGUGGCGUCGCGGGAAUCCCGGGGGCGAACGAGCUUCUCUUGAAGUCCCUAGAACGACCCCUUCCAGCCAUCAUCACGCAACAACAACGACGACGACGACGACGGGCCUGUCCCUUUAAGACCCUUUCGGGCCCGCAGCCCAGGCGAGCCGGCCCGGGCCUCGCCCUGUGAGCCGCCCGAAGCUUCUUCCCCGCUGCUGGUUUGUUUUCCUGCCGCCGCAAAAAUGAGUUUUUAAUUCGUGGUUCCUCGCCCAGCCCGCGACUUUUUUCCGAGUUGCGCCAGAGAUUCCCGAGAGAAGCCCCUUGGUCUCCCCUGGAGGAAAUUUGGAAAUCGUCGUUUUCCUGGAAGCAAAGGGAAAAGAAAAAACAGAUUCUCUCUGCAUUCCACUCCGGGAGCCUCCAAGCACACAGCUGGGUUGGGAGCUCGCAAAGAAAAUGGAGCAUGAAAUGGAGGCCGUGGCGGAAGGAGGGACGGUAAUGUGCGGUGAUCCGGACUCUGACACCAGAACCGCCGGAGCGCAGGUAAGAGGCAGGCCUCUUAUGAGCUGGAAGAAGAGGGAUGAACGGAAACAGUCGGCAAGUGCCCGCAGAAACAGUGCCCUUGGCAAUAAUUCUGCCCGUUAGCAAACUCAAGAGGGUGAGUUUGCUAAUGGACAGAAUUAGCAAAUUCUGGCAACAGGACGGGCGUUAAAAUGGGGUCAGUAAGAAAGGCAAGGGAUGUAAAAGCAUGCAGAAAUACUAUUUUAAACAUACAUGCCUUGCAGAGGGAACCCACUCCAUCUAAGCUGACCAAGAAGGCCUGCCUCCUCCAGGAACCACAUUAUGCUGAGUGUCACUGGGAAAAGAAAGCCACAGGGAAUAGGGAGUCUUCCUUAAGCCCCUAAAACAAGCUUUCUGCACCUUGGAGGAGGGCAUGGCUGACGGAAGACCUUUGCGGGUGUCUCUCUGUUACGUGGAGGCAAAGACGGUAGAGUGGAGGGUUUAAUUGCAAGUCCCAUGUGUUGUGUGUCCUUUGCUGAGAAAUGUUACUUCCUAACCUUAGUUAUUAUGCCCUUACCUUUGUCACCUGCUGUUUUCCUCUCAUGAGAUCAGAUUGUCGUAUGUGUGGCUUUCUUCCUUCACCACUCUUAUCGCCACAUGUGAGGUAGGCAAGCGUGCA